CUAAGGAGCAUUCUCCAGUCGAUGUCCCGAACAGUCGGGAUCGUCGCUGGCAGAGCCACUACGAACUCGAAUGUAGUUCGGUGGAGCUCAUGGGUGGAACGCUGACAACCUCUUCCGUGUAUGGCCGGAGCCGAGUCUUCGGUCGCGGUUGAUAUAUCGACACACUGUUGGGUCCUGAAAGAACAGACGUUCUUUCCAGGCAAAAAAUACGAUCCGGGAGUUUCUCCGGUCAUACCGCUCUCGGCCCUCUUGGGGGUUGGGGUGCUGGUGUCGGGACAGGAUUCUUUCGGGUGUGUUGUUUGAGAACUGCACAGUGGACGCGAGCAUCUUUGUUUGUAAGUGUUGAAGAGCGUUC
This 355-nucleotide unclassified non-coding RNA is filed under the name Nocardia beijingensis. Its description in RNAcentral is "16S-23S ribosomal RNA intergenic spacer". Lineage: Bacteria; Bacillati; Actinomycetota; Actinomycetes; Mycobacteriales; Nocardiaceae. The record is from RNAcentral.